UCACAAAAUGUGGGUGGCAUCAUUUCAAGUCCAGAUAGAGGACAUGAGAAGCUCUUUCCUUAUUCACCAUCUCCAUCAUUCUGCACAAAAACCACCAGCUUACUCAGCUAUGACUUGCCUUGGUGAACCCAUAUUAGCUAUUUCUAUCACAUCUUUGUGCUUUCAUGUGCUUUUUGCCUGGCUUCCAGAAUGGUCUGUUCCAUGAUGUUAUGAGGCAUAGAGGCACUGGGAAUUCUUCUGAUUGCCAUGACUUUUCAAAUACAAUGAAAUGUUCCUCUUCAGUAAAAUUUUCUAAAUUUCUGAUGCUUGUUCAUGGUGUCAGUAUUGGAAAUCUAAAGGCAAUUAUGUACAGACUCUUCACAGAGAGAGAACCUACAAGUGUAACUGGAAUAUGCACUACUCCUCCAGGAUCUUGCCAAAUCCCUGCCUACUGUUGGAAAGACAGAGCUGAUGAUGUGCCAGUGCUGCUCAGCAGUAGCCAAAACACUGGUGUAUUGCGUACAUUCUUUCAGCUGCCAACGCAAAGCUGGUGAGGGCUGCUAUGCAAAAAUGAACUCCAGCUCAGCCAGAUACAUU
Molecule: long non-coding RNA, 576 nt
Organism: Passer domesticus (house sparrow)
Lineage: Eukaryota; Metazoa; Chordata; Aves; Passeriformes; Passeridae
Exons: 3
Source: RefSeq, a predicted model, not a curated record